GACAUCUCUGAGAAUUCGUUUUGGUAUCAAAAAGCGCAUAGGUACUAUGCUUUUCACACGAGUACGCGAGACAAAACACUCAGCACAAUUAUUUUAAUGACUCUGGAGAUAAAAUAUUUUUAAACGAUUUUACAAGAAUGCCUUGUGAUAUGAAAUUAUAGUGAAUUUAAAUACGAAAUGUAUUGUACACGCCUACCUCAAUUAUUAUACAUGGUUACCUUUAGUUAAAAUGUCUAUGCAUGUGAAAUUGGUCUGAUACUUACUGGAAGAAAGAAUAAAAAAAAAAACUCUUACAAUUCAAUAUGAUUAUACCAUCGGAUUACAUAAGAUCAC
Aphis gossypii (cotton aphid) is the source of this 333-nucleotide long non-coding RNA. RefSeq lists it as uncharacterized. The transcript is spliced from 3 exons. Lineage: Eukaryota; Metazoa; Arthropoda; Insecta; Hemiptera; Aphididae. The record is from RefSeq and is a predicted model, not a curated record.